This is a non-coding RNA of Sorex araneus (European shrew), 348 nucleotides long. Lineage: Eukaryota; Metazoa; Chordata; Mammalia; Eulipotyphla; Soricidae. The record is from the annotation of a RefSeq genome assembly.
AUGGAGUUGUUCCAGGGAGUUGUUUGGGUGAUUUUGUGGCUUCAGAUGGACUAUGUGAGCAGCCAAAAGAUAGAGCAGAACACUCAUUCCCUGAGCAUCCUGGAGGGCGAAAAGGCCAUUCUGACUUGUGACUACACAAAUUACUCUCCAGUAAACUUCCAGUGGUACCGACAAGACGCGGGAAGAGGUCUUGUCUUCUUGCUGCUGAUACGUGAAAGUGAGGGUGAGAAAAAGGCAGGAAGACUGAAGGCCACUUUUGAUCCAGCUACCAAGCAGAGCUCCUUGCAUAUCUCAGGCUCCCAGCCUGCAGACUCAGCCACCUACUUCUGUGCCGCUGACGCACAGUAG